This 397-nucleotide ribosomal RNA is filed under the name uncultured soil bacterium. Its description in RNAcentral is "bacterial SSU rRNA". It matches the Rfam family "Bacterial small subunit ribosomal RNA", at positions 26 to 416 of the family's 1533-position model. The record is from RNAcentral.
AGAUUGAACGCUGGCGGCAUGCUUUACACAUGCAAGUCGAACGGCAGCACGACGUGUAGCAAUACACGUUGGUGGCGAGUGGCGAACGGGUGAGUAAUACAUCGGAACGUGUCCAGUAGUGGGGGAUAACCAAUCGAAAGAUUAGCUAAUACCGCAUACGAUCUACGGAUGAAAGCGGGGGACCCGCAAGGGCCUCGCGCUAUUGGAGCGGCCGAUGUCCGAUUAGCUAGUUGGCGGGGUAACGGCCCACCAAGGCGACGAUCGGUAGCUGGUCUGAGAGGAUGAUCAGCCACACUGGAACUGAGACACGGUCCAGACUCCUACGGGAGGCAGCAGUGGGGAAUUUGGACAAUGGGCGCAAGCCUGAUCCAGCCAUGCCGCGUGAGUGAAGAAGGCC